This 1344-nucleotide ribosomal RNA is filed under the name Triticum aestivum (bread wheat). RNAcentral describes it as "partial small subunit ribosomal RNA". Lineage: Eukaryota; Viridiplantae; Streptophyta; Magnoliopsida; Poales; Poaceae. The record is from RNAcentral.
AUGCAGAUGCAGGAUCCUCCGCCGCUGACGGGGGAAACCCCAGACCGUGGAUCGAUUGCUCCAAUCUGCAACCCAAAGGGCUCACCCUGGCAGCAAGAUGACGAUUUUCAAAGUGACUGUGUCGAAGCAAUACGAUCGUUGGGCGACCUUCCAGAGGAUAUCUGUCGACGUAUUCAUGCCCGAAUGCCACUGCGAGAUGCUGCCCGCUUGGCUUGUGUAUCACACAAAUUUUGGAGAUCAUGGAGAUGCUAUCCCAAGCUUGACUUACGUCAGGAAACACUAGGUUUGAAUGGAGAUCUCAUCAGUAAAGUUGACAGUAUUCUGAAAAAUCACUCGGGCGUUGGCUUGAAGGAACUAAAUAUUGAACUUUCUAGCUGUGACAAGGUUGAUUCUUGUUAUAUCAGUAGUUGGCUUCGUAUUGCUGUUACAGCAGGAAUUGAAGAACUCAGCCUUUUUCUGCCUCAUAUUCCUGAGGAAGAAGAAAACUAUUUCCCAUGCUCACCUUUACUUAAUGGGAGUGAAAACUCAAUUCGGUAUCUCGACAUAGGCAUCUGUGCCUUUCGUCCCACGGCUGGGCUUGGUCAUUGGAGUAGCUUGACAAGGUUAUAUCUGAGUAAUGUGCGGGUUGCUGACGAUGAGCUAGAGGGCCUUCUUUACAGUUCUGAUGCAUUGGAGCAUUUGGGAGUCCUGAAUUGCCCCGAGAUAGUUUGCCUGAAGAUACCUUGUCUGCUGCAGCGGCUUAGGCUCCUGACAGUGUCUUUAUGCAGAAAUCUGCAAGUGAUAGAUUGCAAUGCUCCAAAUAUCUCCAUUUUUCACUUCUCUGGUAGCUUAGUAUCGAUUUUCUUCGAAAGUGCAUUGCAAGUAAAGAAUGUUGAAAUGGAUUGUUUAGAAUCUGGUCAGUCCAACAUUGUCUUGCAUGCUCGGACCAAGCUUCUGUCCUAUGCGCCAAAUGUUGAAACACUUGCCAUAUCCUCGCCUAAUGAGAUGAUCAGUACACCAAUGCUACCUAGCAAAUUCCUCUGCCUCAAGUACUUGCAUAUUUCUCUAAUUGGAGAUGAAGCUAUUUCACCAGCUUAUGAUUACCUUUCUCUGGCUUCUUUUCUUGAAGCUUCUCCUUGCCUGGAGACAUUCAUCUUGGAAGUGCGGCAGCCUUACAUGAAGCAUGAUUCAGUUGUCGAGGAUUCCUCGCACCUAAGAUGGCUACCACAGCAGCGUCACAACAGCCUAAAGAGUGUGACAAUCGUCGGCUUCUGCUCCGCAAAGAGCUUGGUCGAGUUGACAUGCCACAUUGUUGAGAACGCGGCAUCGCUCGAGCGCCUCACGUUAGACCAAUAUUUUAAAUAG